UACAUGGGGUGCAAACGUUGCUCGGAAUUAUUGGGCGUAAAGCGCACGUAGGCGGUUCGUUAAGUCGGAUGUGAAAGCCCUCGGCUCAACUGAGGAAGUGCACCCGAAACUGGCGAGCUUGAGUACGAAAGAGGAUCGCGGAAUUCCCGGUGUAGAGGUGAAAUUCGUAGAUAUCGGGAAGAACACCGGUGGCGAAGGCGGCGAGCUGGUCCGUAUCUGACGCUGAGGCGCGACAGCGUGGGGAGCAAACAGG
RNAcentral lists this ribosomal RNA (253 nucleotides) under uncultured bacterium. RNAcentral's name for it is "partial 16S ribosomal RNA". It matches the Rfam family "Bacterial small subunit ribosomal RNA", at positions 524 to 776 of the family's 1533-position model. The record is from RNAcentral.